RNAcentral lists this ribosomal RNA (352 nucleotides) under uncultured soil bacterium. RNAcentral describes it as "bacterial SSU rRNA". It matches the Rfam family "Bacterial small subunit ribosomal RNA", at positions 26 to 373 of the family's 1533-position model. The record is from RNAcentral.
AGGAUGAACGCUGGCGGCGUGCUUAACACAUGCAAGUCGAACGAUGAAGGCUGGAGCUUGCUCUGGCUGGAUUAGUGGCGAACGGGUGAGUAACACGUGAGUAACCUGCCCCAGACUCUGGGAUAAGCGCUGGAAACGGCGUCUAAUACCGGAUACGAGCUUCCACCGCAUGGUGAGGAGCUGGAAAGAAUUUCGGUCUGGGAUGGACUCGCGGCCUAUCAGCUUGUUGGUGAGGUAAUGGCUCACCAAGGCGACGACGGGUAGCCGGCCUGAGAGGGUGACCGGCCACACUGGGACUGAGACACGGCCCAGACUCCGUACGGGAGCAGCAGGUGGGGAAUAUUGCACAAGU